Molecule: ribosomal RNA, 253 nt
Filed under: uncultured bacterium
Lineage: Bacteria
Description: partial 16S ribosomal RNA
Rfam family: Bacterial small subunit ribosomal RNA
Source: RNAcentral
UACGGAGGUUGCAAGCGUUAUCCGGAUUUAUUGGGUUUAAAGGGUGCGUAGGCGGGAUUAUAAGUCAGUGGUGAAAACCUGCAGCUUAACUGUAGAACUGCCAUUGAUACUGUAAUUCUUGAGUAUAGUUGAGGUGGGCGGAAUGUGUAGUGUAGCGGUGAAAUGCUUAGAUAUUACACAGAACACCGAUUGCGUAGGCAGCUCACUAAACUAAAACUGACGCUGAGGCACGAAAGCGUGGGGAUCAAACAGG